GAAUAUUGGACAAUGGGCGCAAGCCUGAUCCAGCCAUGCCGCGUGAGUGAUGAAGGCCCUAGGGUUGUAAAGCUCUUUCGACGGGGACGAUAAUGACGGUACCCGUAGAAGAAGCCCCGGCUAACUUCGUGCCAGCAGCCGCGGUAAUACGAAGGGGGCUAGCGUUGUUCGGAAUCACUGGGCGUAAAGCGCACGUAGGCGGAUUGUUAAGUCAGGGGUGAAAUCCCGAGGCUCAACCUCGGAACUGCCUUUGAUACUGGCAAUCUUCGAGUCCGGGAGAGGUGAGUGGAACUCCGAGUGUAGAGGUGAAAUUCGUAGAUAUUCGGAAGAACACCAGUGGCGAAGGCGGCUCACUGGCCCGGUACUGACGCUGAGGUGCGAAAGCGUGGGGAGCAAACAG
This 400-nucleotide ribosomal RNA is filed under the name uncultured bacterium. RNAcentral's name for it is "bacterial SSU rRNA". It matches the Rfam family "Bacterial small subunit ribosomal RNA", at positions 359 to 775 of the family's 1533-position model. The record is from RNAcentral.